Molecule: ribosomal RNA, 309 nt
Filed under: uncultured archaeon
Lineage: Archaea
Description: bacterial SSU rRNA
Rfam family: Archaeal small subunit ribosomal RNA
Source: RNAcentral
UGGCCACGCAAGUUCGUCGGGAAAUCCACCAGCCUAACUGGUGGGCGUCCGGCGAAAACUGCCUGGUUUGGGACCGGAAGACCCGAGGGGUACGCCCGGGGUAGGAGUGAAAUCCCGUAAUCCUGGACGGACCGCCGAUGGCGAAAGCACCUCGGGAAGACGGAUCCGACAGUGAGGGACGAAAGCUCGGGUCUCGAACCGGAUUAGAUACCCGGGUAGUCCGAGCCGUAAACGAUGUCUGCUAGGUGUGGCACCCACUACGAGUGGGUGCUGUGCCGUAGGGAAGCCGCUAAGCAGACCGCCUGGGAA